This 374-nucleotide ribosomal RNA is filed under the name uncultured organism. Its description in RNAcentral is "partial 16S ribosomal RNA". It matches the Rfam family "Bacterial small subunit ribosomal RNA", at positions 527 to 896 of the family's 1533-position model. The record is from RNAcentral.
GUAGGUGGCAAGCGUUGUCCGGAAUUAUUGGGCGUAAAGCGCGCGCAGGCGGUUCUUUAAGUCUGAUGUGAAAGCCCACGGCUCAACCGUGGAGGGGUCAUUGGAAACUGGAGAACUUGAGUACAGAAGAGGAAAGCGGAAUUCCACGUGUAGCGGUGAAAUGCGUAGAGAUGUGGAGGAACACCAGUGGCGAAGGCGGCUUUCUGGUCUGUAACUGACGCUGAGGCGCGAAAGCGUGGGGAGCAAACAGGAUUAGAUACCCUUGUAGUCCACGCCGUAAACGAUGAGUGCUAAGUGUUAGGGGGUUUUCCGCCCCCCUUAGUGCUGCAGCUAACGCAUUAAGCACUCCGCCUGGGAGUACGGCCGCAAGGCUG